RNAcentral lists this ribosomal RNA (903 nucleotides) under uncultured fungus. RNAcentral's name for it is "eukaryotic LSU rRNA". The stretch from base 318 to 471 matches the Rfam family "5.8S ribosomal RNA". Lineage: Eukaryota; Fungi. The record is from RNAcentral.
ACUUGUUUUCACGUCUCCCUUUGCAAUUUGAAUGGAUUGGAACCAGUUUGAGGGAAUUGAUGUGGAUUGCAUUUACUUGCAAUCGGCCUUCCUGGUAUACUUACGAGCAUUGAAAAAUGCUUGUUAACAAUUGUAUCUUAUUGCUUAAAGGCCAAAUUUCUUUCAAUAUUUUGAUCUCCAUCAUGAUCAAUAAAAUAUUGGAAGAGAAACCUUAUAAACUAUUUUCACCACCUUUUUGCUAGUUGACUUUUUAUAUGUGAUCGUUUUGCUUUAUGCAAUGUGGUCGCACGUUUAAUUACUUGAACGUUAAAAAAUACAACUCUUAGCAAUGGAUAUCUUGGUUCUCGCAACGAUGAAGAACGCAGCGAAAUGCGAUACGUAAUGCGAAUUGCAGAAUUCAGUGAAUCAUCAAAUCUUUGAACGCAAAUUGCGCUCUUGGGUAGCCCUAGGAGCACGCCUCUCUCAGUAUCGGUUCAACAAUCUCUCAGCAGCGUGUUUUUGAAUAAUUGGAAUAGUGGUUGCAAAACUACAGUUCUUUGAUCUUUCGAAAACGCGUGUUGGCUGGAUAAUGAGAGUCUGUAUGCUUUUGUCGUACAGUCUCUUUAAAUACAUGGAGUAAGCAUAACUAAACGAUUAAAUUCCCACAGUUUAUCAGUCAUCCUGCAAAGGAAGAUAGAAGAAUAGAGGGAAUAGUAGAGUCUCUGAUUUUGCUUUAUUCGUAGUGACGUGAAUAAUAAGCCUUUACCGGUUUAACUUUUUAUGUUUAUCUACUUGAGCUAAGCUAUUAUAAAUCUAAGAUUUAACGAAACAAUUGUUAUUACUAGUUGUAUGUUUACGUAUAGAAAACCAUAUGGCUUUUUGUUUGAUAGAAAUAUUAAAACGAGAAUCCUGAAUUUUGAUCUG